UUGCGGCUGAGGGCAGGCUGAGCGUGGGGGUUAAGGGCCCUUCCCUCCAGGGUAAUGGCACGUCCUGCAGGAAGUUGCACAAGGUCCAGUCUGGGUCCAAAGACACGAAGUUCAGAGACUGAAAACCGUGGGCUGCAUGUCGGUCUCUUAGGGGUGAAUUUAGGCCACUGUUCAAAAUGAAAUGUUUGGUCAGAGAGCCCACACUUGUGCAAACACUGAGACAAGGGCAGGGCCCACUGGGAAUUGGCCAAGGCCGGGAGGGGCUGAACUCGCAGCGCUUUGAAGACGUGCCCGCCUGCGGUCUGCAGACCAAACGCUGCUGGGGUCUGGGUCCAAGGCCCGGGGUCUCUGAGGACGCACCUCCUUCCCAGCCCAUCCCUGUGCCCUCCGGGAGUGCCCUCCCUCGAGCGUCAGUGCCCAGGGAAGGAUGGCUCCCCAGGCCUCCCCAGUCGGGUGACACCUUGGGGGGGCUGUCGGCACAGGUGACACAGGCAGCACAGGGGAAAAGGCUCUUCCGUCUUCCUGAAGUAGCUCUGGUGCCAACGGAGCCCAGCGGGCGCAUGUGACCUGGGACCGCAGGUGAGGCCGGGGGCCCCCAGGGAGGGAGGGUGUGUCCUGUGUGUCACCUGUGAGCGCAGGUCCGUUCCUUCCCUCUAACUCACUUCGUGAGGCCUCGCCUGGCCAGGGAUGUCAGGCCGUGCGCGUUGUGCCAGCUGGACGGCCGCACAGAAACCAGACCGAAACUGCCAUGAGCCACCUGCAGGCGCACUCCUUCCCUGCCACACUGUCAGGAGCCCGCAGACGGCCAAGGACGUUUAAACGCCUUAACUCGUCACAUGAUGACACCGGGCUGACAGGCAGAGCUGGUUUGUGGCAGCCCGGGGAGUGUCUCCGUGUCCCAACACUGUCCCCAGGCUUCUGGCCGCCUCCUUCCUUGUCUUCUGAACAGGAUUGAAUUCCUUCUCCUCUGGCCAGGACGGCACGGGAGCUGUUGAGAGCGGGAGCAGGUGGAAGAAAGCCCUGACUUAGCCUCGGGCCCGGCACCUGGGACCCUGGCACAAACCCCACCAGGCGUCCAGCCCCUCCCGGGCGCCGCCCCACCUGGUCCCUGGGGAGAGUUUCCUGAAACGCGCCGCGCAGCUCCCGUCUUGACGGCCUCCCAGCCAAGCUGCCGGGUCACUUGGAGGUGGUCCAGCAUCUUUUCUCCUUUGAGCCAAAGGACACCCUGUUUAAGAAUAAACCUCCUUGUACAGAGGCA
RNAcentral lists this long non-coding RNA (1258 nucleotides) under Sus scrofa (pig). Its description in RNAcentral is "lncRNA (ENSSSCG00070027240.1)". Lineage: Eukaryota; Metazoa; Chordata; Mammalia; Artiodactyla; Suidae. The record is from RNAcentral.